This 176-nucleotide ribosomal RNA is filed under the name uncultured bacterium. RNAcentral describes it as "partial 16S ribosomal RNA". It matches the Rfam family "Bacterial small subunit ribosomal RNA", at positions 1318 to 1500 of the family's 1533-position model. The record is from RNAcentral.
CCAUGAAGCUGGAUUCGCUAGUAAUCGCGCAUCAGCCACGGCGCGGUGAAUACGUUCCCGGGCCUUGUACACACCGCCCGUCAAGCCAUGGAAGCCGGGGGGUGCCUGAAGUGCGCUGCCGCAAGGAGCGUCCUAGGGUAAAACCGGUGACUGGGGCUAAGUCGUAACAAGGUAAC